UAGGGAAUCUUCGGCAAUGGACGAAAGUCUGACCGAGCAACGCCGCGUGAGCGAAGAAGGUUUUCGGAUCGUAAAACUCUGUUGGUAGAGAAGAACGUUGGUGAGAGUGGAAAGCUCAUCAAGUGACGGUAACUACCCAGAAAGGGACGGCUAACUACGUGCUAG
Molecule: ribosomal RNA, 165 nt
Filed under: uncultured bacterium
Lineage: Bacteria
Description: partial 16S rRNA
Rfam family: Bacterial small subunit ribosomal RNA
Source: RNAcentral